AUUAAACGAUAAACCACAUAUGUGCCAUUUUCAACCAAAAGGGUACUUAUUGUCGGUUGUCAAUAAGGCGCUAUUUCCAUAUAGCUUCAAUUUGAAAUCAACCUUAUCAACAACCGACAAUGUGGUACCUUUUCAUUGAAAACGUCACAUAUAAA
Molecule: long non-coding RNA, 155 nt
Organism: Cydia fagiglandana
Lineage: Eukaryota; Metazoa; Arthropoda; Insecta; Lepidoptera; Tortricidae
Exons: 2
Source: RefSeq, a predicted model, not a curated record